CGGGGGGCGUGGCCGGCGGCCGGUCCGUCAGCGGCGCCGCGGCCGUGACAACAAAGGGCUCCGGAGGCGCCGGGGACGCGGAGCGGGGGAGCUGCGGUCCGGUUCACAUAAACUGUUUACAAGUCAUGCCUCUGCAUGUCCCGUACCUAAGCUGAUAAAGCAUCUAUGCACUUUAAUCUCAAGUCUGUGCCACUCUGCUAGUACAGUGUUAGCUGUGCCUUGAACCUUGGAUGUAACGACCUACCAGCCAAAGUCUUGUUCCUGCCUUAGUAAUGUUUCAGAGGUUAAAUAACAUGCUCAUGGGAGAGAUUGAUAGCUUGUCCAGCCAAGAGCCAGAGUUCAGUGAGAAAGAAGACGACGAGUGGAUUCUAGUUGACUUUAUAGCAGACACUUGCACUAAUUGUUCUGUGGAGGAAGCAGACAUUGUUGAAGAAUCAGCCACGGAUGGCUCACCCGUCUUCUCUUGUUUAUCGUCUCCCUUGGAACACUUGCCGGAGGCCAGCGAGUCUUGCUUCAUCCAGUUUGAGUCAUGUCCUAUGGAGGAGAGCUGGUUUAUUACCCCUCCCCCAUGUUUUACUGCAGGUGGAUUGACCACUAUCAAGGUGGAAACCAGUCCGAUGGAGAACCUCCUAAUAGAGCAUCCCAGCAUGUCUGUGUAUGCUGUCCAUAAUGCCUGUCACAGCCUUAAUGAGACUGGAUGUGGAGAUGAGGAGUUUCACAGCCCAGGUAGUCCCAGACUGGAGGCCCGAAAUGAAACAGGACAGCGUGUUCACUGCUAUGUCACGGCUCUUGCUACUCGUUCAACUUUUCUGGAAAAAAACAAGAGCUUUCGUCCUACCCACUGGAUAAAAGAACAUAAUGAAAGACACUGUCUCAAAAGAAACAGUCUCCGUCGCCAAAAUCUUACCAGGGAUUGCCACUCUCGGCAAAUCAAGCACAACGGACUGUUUGUUCACCAGCCUUGCCAGCGUCAGUUCAAUUACUGAUGGUUCUUGUGGUUUUAAUCUAUGGUCUAAUUGUUUUUUAGGUUGCUCUUGUUUUCACGUGUAGGUAAGUGUAGUCAAUCUGAAGCUGAUUGUCAAUCCCUCAAACACAAUCAUAACUAGUGUUGCAUUGUUUUGAAAAGACACAUAAAUCUCCAAACGUCUUGCAGCGAGUUAUGAAUGUUGAUGUUAAAUAUCAAUGUCUUGGAAGCCUAUCAGUACGAUAGUUUGUGUGCUGUUUUAUAAACUAUGAUGUAUAGAUGGGUUCUUAGUUAGUAUUUUAAAGAAACUUAACUGAGAUGGAAAUCAGUUACAUUUUGCAUUAAUCAAAAUGGAGUUAGAAAAAUUGAGGUUAGCCGUAUGCUUUAAUGACCAGUACUUGACAGCUUGUGUAUCUGUCUGUAUUCAGCAUAUAUGAUUACUUUCUAACGAGGAAAUUCUAUAGCUGCCAGUGGAUAUUACAUAGCUGUGCUGAGCUGUUGCAAGAAGGACAUCUCAUCUAAAUUGCCUAGUACCUACUUGUGUUAGUGGAGUCUGUGCAGGUGUGUUGGGUACUUGAUAUGGAUAUUGGAAGAGGGUUAAAUGUCCCCCCAAUAUUGUUGCAGUAUGAUAUGGCACCGGUGUUACAGAUGUAGUACCUCACAGUGGAGUGGAAAGAUAAGUGGACCUAUGGGUAAAGUGCAGAUGCACAACACAGAGAACUGAACUGGGUUUUACUUGGUACAGUUUGAGUUCUUACUCCUUUCUCUAACUAUUUCUGUCUUUGAUACAAGUAUUUCCCCUACCCUAUCUCAUUUAAUCUCUAGUCUAGUUAAAGAAAAAAGAUGGUGGCUUGACUAUUCUUUUAGUCCCAUCAGUAGCUGACUGCUGAUGGACAGCUAUUUCUGAGCUACAAGUUGCUGUUAGAUUGUCUUGAUAUUUACAGAUUGAGAGUAGCCCAAAAAUAGCUAGAAGGAGGCUUUCAUUAGAAGUUCUCCUAAUUUUCUCUCUUUCUCUCUAUGAAAAUGAAGUCCGAGUUAAUGGGGACUUGAAAUGAAGGGCAGUGUGAGGCAGGGAGAAGCAGAUGCUGGAAAACAGUCUUAGAGAACUAAACACAGUGAUAACAGGGUGUGUAAAAAUUGAUCAGCAGUGGUGGUUCUCCUAGCCCAUUGGAGGCAGGACUGGGGCCAACAAGAAAGAAAAGCCAUUCAAAACUAACAAGUAGUUUUCUUAAGAACACUGUGCAAGAUGUUUUGGAAGUUGGCAGGCACUGCUAACUACAACUACAGGUGAAGUAAAGUUCACCUGCACACAAAAACUGUGUUCCAUAGCAGCCAUACAGCGUGCUGAACCCUGAUAGAUCAGUCUGGGAAGUGGAUUAAAUGAGCGUGGAGGUGAGGAAGCAGAAAUCUGCACUGAAAGAAGGGGGGAAUGAUAAGUAAGUUUAUCCUCCUUUCUUUCAGUGCUUAAUGUGACUUACUGUGUUUUCCCUUGUGUUUAGUGCCUAGGGCAUUAAAGUGUUAACAUUACACUCAACUGUGUCUUCCAGUAGUCCUUAUACAGAAGUUGGUAUAAGGAGUCACGUGGGGAGUCUUUGAAAUCAGGUGAGGUCGAUAAUGUGAAUUAUUCCAGACCUAUGAAGUAUUUUAAAUUCAGCCAAAUGCUUCAAUUUCACUGAAGCAAAACCCCAACAAUUCAGAUUGACCUUGAUAUAGUGGUACUGUUGCACAUUCUGCAGCUGGAAUUGUAGUGGAACUUACUUGGCAUACAGGAAACAGCAUUCAUAACCUCUAUUUCACUGCAGAUGUGCUGCUUCACUGAAAGUAGUUAGGAGUGUUGCAAAGGGAUGUUGAAAAAUAGUUAAAUGUAUAAAAGCAAGAGGUGCUUUCCUGGACACACUAGUGUUUUUUUUUUUUUUUUUUUUUUUUUUUU
Lepidothrix coronata (blue-crowned manakin) is the source of this 2894-nucleotide RNA transcript. It is a transcript of the gene named tumor protein p53 inducible nuclear protein 1, with no coding region annotated. Lineage: Eukaryota; Metazoa; Chordata; Aves; Passeriformes; Pipridae. The transcript has 5 exons. The record is from RefSeq and is a predicted model, not a curated record.